This 481-nucleotide long non-coding RNA is filed under the name Monodelphis domestica (gray short-tailed opossum). RNAcentral describes it as "lncRNA (ENSMODG00000047296.1)". The record is from RNAcentral. Lineage: Eukaryota; Metazoa; Chordata; Mammalia; Didelphimorphia; Didelphidae.
CUUCUGUCCUCUACCAUUUCCAAAAGUCUAAGUUCAUAUUUGUUGCUUCCACCCUGCCAUUUAUCCAUCUCCACCUCAGCUGUCCCAUUCUCCUUUUGCCUUCAAUCUUUCCCAGCAUUACUGUCUUUUCCAAAGAGUCCUGUCUUCUCCUCAUGUGGCCAAAGCUUCAGCUUCAGUGUUUGUCCUUCCAAUGAAUCAUCAGAAUUAAUUUCUUUAAGCAGUGGCUGACUUGAUCUUCUUGAGGCCCAAGAAACUCUCCAAAGUCUCCUCCAGCACCAUAAAUCUUUAGGCUCAUCACGUCCAAUCCUGUCGUUUUACAGAUGAGAAAAUCGAGAUUCUGAGAGGUUAGAGGAAUGGCCCAAAGUCACACAGCUGGCAAGUGUCUGAGGAUAAAGCAAACCCCAAUUUUACCACAAUGGAGUUUUGUCCUUGAGUACUACUACAUGAAUGGAGGCGGGAUGAUGGAUCAAACAAGUGGAAG